UUGCCUCACCGGGGAAAAAAAAAAUCUCUCCCUCUUUCUCUUCACUCAUGUAACAAACUGUCCUAAUUCAGGCUCUCCCUAACCAACAUCUUCCCUGGACUAUUGCAAUAACCUUCUUUGGUAACUGGUGUCCACAAAUCCAGUAUCUGUGCCUUUGUACAGCCUGAAGUACACUCCCUCCCCAUCCAGACCUCUUAGAAUGCUUGGCUCCCUUCGAAGCUCACCUCAGUCCUGAUUUCCUGAUUCCUAAUACCCCUCCCCUUUUGGACUCAGUGAUACCACUACUAAGCCUAUACCCCAAAGAGAUUUUUUAAAAAAGAGAAAGAGAAAGGAAAAUCCAAAAAUUUUGUAGCAGCUUUUUGUAUUGAGUAACAACUAGAAACUUGUUAGAGAAUACUGAACAAUUGUGGCAUGUGAAUGUAAUUUUGCUGUAGGAAAUGACUGAAAGGGACAGUUUCAGAAACACCUAGGAAGACUGAAUUGAACUGAUGUAGAGUGAAGUGAAUGAAGUGAUGCUAUAACAACACUGAAAAGACAGGAUUUUGAAAGGCAUGGUUUUUCAUUGGACCAAGCAAUAAUUCCAAAUGACCAUUAGUGAAAUAUGCUACCCACCUCCUGACAGAGAGGUGGUAGACUUAGGUUACAAAAUAAGACCUAUUUUUUGGACAUGGCCAAUAUAGGAAUUUGUUUUGCUUCACUGUGUUACAAGGUUUUGUUCUUUUUAAACUAAAUUUUUUUAAGUGCUAUGUAAGUGCAAGUUGUUACUAUUAGACAAUUAAUAAGGUCCCUUCCAGGCCAAGAUCCCAUGAUGUUAAAGUCUAAUACAGUGGAAAGCACACUGGCUUUGAGGUCAGAGGACCUGGGUUCAAAACACUCCUGAAAGGAGGACCGCCUGUGGGAACCUUGGGCAAGACACUUGAGCUCUCUCCCGGCCGCCCCAAAGACAUUUCUUCAUCCUAGGGGGCGGGGAACCUGCGGCCUCAGGCUACGUGUACGUCGAAGCCGCAGCUUCCCCACCCACUGUUCCUAACUAAGCGCCUGGGUAAGAUGGAUCCUUCCAACCCCAAAUUCAAAACCAGAUUCUAAGUACGCUCCUAUGAUCCUUCUGGCCCAACCUAUUCAAGGUUGUGUUGAAGAAAUAAAACAAAAUUCUCAAGCCCCGAAGUCAACCACGGUCUGAGGCCCGCCUGAAGAAGCCCCACCGAUGGACUGCACCGCUGAGGGAGGAAGCGGGAGGGGGCAGGGAGCGUGGACACGCGAAGGCUCGAACCCUCGAGCGGGCCUCUUCCAGGAGCCCGAGGGGAAAAGCCGUUGGCCUGCUGGGCGGCUGGCAGAGGAGCUUGGGGGCAGCCCCGGCUCUUCUCCUCCUCCGAUUCCUCCUCGUCCUCUUCCUCCUCAGAGGCUGUCCCUGCGACCCAGGGCCGGGGGAGCGGGAGGGAGAUCUCUGGGAGACGAGCGAGCCGCUGUUAAAAGGGGAAGGAGAGGAGACCCUCGCGCGGCCGACGAAAAUGGUGGGCCCCGCGAACGCUGACAGGCCCGGCGUCGCCCGAGGCUGAGCCUGGACCGGGAGCUGCACCCGCACCGAAUCAUCAAAACAUAACAAAAGCACUCCCAGGCCUUUGUCUCAUUCAACUUCUUUUGUGACCUUUGGUGAAUUAGAGUUCUGAAAAGACAACUUGCAUCAUCUGCCCCAUUAGAAGAGUUAAUUUCUGCUUGGUUCAUUCUAAUUUUCAAG
Non-coding RNA from Phascolarctos cinereus (koala), 1735 nucleotides. NCBI's taxonomy places the organism in Eukaryota, Metazoa, Chordata, Mammalia, Diprotodontia, Phascolarctidae. The record is from RefSeq and is a predicted model, not a curated record.